Molecule: ribosomal RNA, 211 nt
Filed under: uncultured bacterium
Lineage: Bacteria
Description: partial 16S ribosomal RNA
Rfam family: Bacterial small subunit ribosomal RNA
Source: RNAcentral
AGUUCGGAUUGAAGGCUGAAAUUCGCCUUCAUGAAGCUGGAAUUGCUAGUAAUGGCAGGUCAGCAUACUGCCGUGAAUACGUUCCCGGGCCUUGUACACACCGCCCGUCACACCAUGAGAGUUGGGAAUACCCGAAGCCUGUGAGCUAACUGUAAGGAGGCAGCAGUCGAAGGUAGAAUCAAUGAUUGGGGUGAAGUCGUAACAAGGUAAC